Non-coding RNA from Cordylochernes scorpioides, 79 nucleotides. The record is from the annotation of a GenBank genome assembly. NCBI's taxonomy places the organism in Eukaryota, Metazoa, Arthropoda, Arachnida, Pseudoscorpiones, Chernetidae.
GCCAGGGUAGCCUAGUGGAUAUGGCAUCUGCAUCUGCCCCGUAAGCGAAACACUGUGGGUUCAAUUCCCAUCCCUGGAA